RNAcentral lists this ribosomal RNA (440 nucleotides) under uncultured bacterium. RNAcentral describes it as "partial 16S ribosomal RNA". It matches the Rfam family "Bacterial small subunit ribosomal RNA", at positions 338 to 795 of the family's 1533-position model. The record is from RNAcentral.
CCUACGGGUGGCAGUGGGGAAUAUUGGGCAAUGGAGGAAACUCUGACCCAGCAACGCCGCGUGAAUGAUGAAGGUCUUCGGAUUGUAAAGUUCUUUUCUAAGGGAAGAAGAAAGUGACGGUACCUUAGGAAUAAGCCUCGGCUAACUACGUGCCAGCAGCCGCGGUAAUACGUAGGAGGCAAGCGUUAUCCGGAAUGACUGGGCGUAAAGGGUGCGUAGGUGGUUUGACAAGUUGGUAGCGUAACUCCGAGGCUUAACCUCGGCACUACUACCAAAACUGUUGGACUCGAGUGCAGGAGGGGCAAAUGGAAUUCCUAGUGUAGCGGUGGAAUGCGUAGAUAUUAGGAGGAACACCAGUGGCGAAGGCGGGUUGCUAGACUGUAACUGACACUGAGGCACGAAAGCGUGGGGAGCAAACAGGAUUAGAUACCCUUGUAGUC